CACAAGAACAAAAUGGCCGCGUCAAGUUUGAAGGGAGACGAAAAUCGCUAUUUCUUUACGGCAAGUAACCAUAUCUGGAGAUGAUUAUGAAUGAUUUACUCUGCUCCCCCAGUCUUUUUGAUAGCUGUAUUUGCUGGAGGCUCUACUUCAGGGAACAACGUUCAAGAGGCACAUGUGAAAUGU
Molecule: long non-coding RNA, 183 nt
Organism: Actinia tenebrosa (Australian red waratah sea anemone)
Lineage: Eukaryota; Metazoa; Cnidaria; Anthozoa; Actiniaria; Actiniidae
Source: RefSeq, a predicted model, not a curated record